AUGUUAGCAAAACAAGCAUGGAGGUUAAUCACAAACCCCAAUACUUUGUGUGCGAGAGUACUGAAAGCUAAGUACUUUUCCAAUGGAGAUUUAUUGUCAGCAGGUCCAAAAAAGGGUUCCUCCUUUACUUGGCAGAGUAUUGUUGCAGGGAUACAGACUUUUAAAAGAGGUCAUAUUUGGAGAGUCGGCACUGGGGAAAACAUUAAAAUAUGGGAGGAUCAUUGGAUCCCCUCAAGUCCAUUGAGGAAAGUCAUAACACCAAGGAAUAAUAUUGUUCUAAGUACUGUUGAUCAACUUAUCAACCCUAUCACCGGCAGAUGGGAUGAGGAGUUGAUUUUGGAUAUUUUCAGUCCGGUCGACUCAGUAAGAAUCUUGCAAAUCCCUGUUAUAUCUGGUACAGUUGAUGAUUUUGUAGUUUGGCAGAUGACAAGAAAUGGAGCUUUCUCAGUUCGGUCUGCGUAUUAUACUGAAUGGAACCAUCAAUUUAGCGACAAGAUAUGUAGGCUGGAUGAUCAGAGUGGAUCAAGUCUGAACCCUGUUUGGGAGGUGGUGUGGAAAUUGCAAAUUCCUAGCAAAGUAAAAAAAAAAUCUUGGCACGCACUUCAUGGGACGAUUCCAGGGCUGGCCGUUCUUGCAAAUCACCACAUAAAAACCACAAGUCAAUGUCCUAUCUGUCAGUGGGGUGCGGAAGAUAUUCAACAUCUAAUGUUCACUUGCAAACGUGCAAAGGAAGUGUGGAAAUCACUCGGUUUAUUUGAAAUGAUAAUUUCAACGGUG
Molecule: ribosomal RNA, 777 nt
Filed under: Triticum aestivum (bread wheat)
Lineage: Eukaryota; Viridiplantae; Streptophyta; Magnoliopsida; Poales; Poaceae
Description: partial small subunit ribosomal RNA
Source: RNAcentral